AGACAAAUUGCUUUCUCAGAAGCCGCAACGCACCCAUCUCAAACAAUCGAAGACAGACGAGGACAGCAUUGCGCACUACCCAUCAGCAGGAGUUUAAACGUCCCAAUCUCGCGGCACAUCGGACGCGCGUGUCCGGUCGAGGCGGAUCGGUCCGGCUCGAGCGUCAGUCGGCGGGAAAUUCAAACUCUUUCGUCACGGGGGAUACAGAAAUACAUCUUUUUUCCGUCUUCUUA
Penaeus monodon (black tiger shrimp) is the source of this 233-nucleotide long non-coding RNA. RefSeq lists it as uncharacterized. The record is from RefSeq and is a predicted model, not a curated record. The transcript is spliced from 2 exons. Lineage: Eukaryota; Metazoa; Arthropoda; Malacostraca; Decapoda; Penaeidae.